ACCCUGAGAAAACACGCAGGAGAUAUUGGCAAUAACCCUAACCCUUCCAUAUAAAUUGCAAAAUCUCAAUGCGGGCUAAUCUCUUUCAUACAAUUGCUGAUUGGAUUUGAAUCUCAUCUUCGUUCUUAACUUCAGGUCGCACAAUCAAUAACUUUUGUUUUCCUUUUUAUCUGAGUUUAGUUUUCGGUUUUCGACCAACACUCACCGCCCCGUCGGGGAUCCCAGCAUUUAUUUGAAUACUCGAUCAGUGGGAAAAAGGCAAAUCCGUUAUAUUCAGUCAGCUCACUCCGAUAAUCAAAAGCCUCUGGAUGUUCAAUCGCUACACCAUGCCCUACAGGGAGGAAAUAAAGGGUGUCUUGUGUGCAAGAAAAAGAUGGCAACUUCUCCCAAAACACUUUCUGGAUUCUGCCCUGCCCCAUUUACAAAUCUUUUGGAAUAUGUUGUUAAUUUGAAGUUUGAUGAGUGUAUGCAAAAAUUUCCAUUUGAUCGGCUGAAAGUUCUAAUCGUGUGACGAGGAGCCUAAUCAUUUAGGUUUCGUCGAAUGCUGAAUGAUCACAUAUUCUUUGGUACCCACAAAGUUUAUUACCUCCUAAAGUCAUAAUUGCAUUAACUUUAUCUUCAAAAGGGGAAGGUCAAACUGAUUUCUUGACCAAACGUCAACUGGCAUGGAAGACUUCAUUUUGUAGCCUUAAUUUCAUGUUAAAGAAGAACAUUUGUUACUUAUUUUAUGGUUCAUGAAGAGAACUCACAUCCUGUUUGUUUGAAGCCGUGAAAAUGAAGUCAUUUAAUGGAAGGACCACCCGAUUAGCAUGGAGCAGCUAGAGUUAUUUUCCGGGUCAACACUCAACCCAUUAAAAGAGAAGUCUCAGCUUAUGUUGGGUUAGAGGGGAAGGAAGUUAUGAGCAACAGUUAUCUCUAUUUUCCAGUUUACUAUUUAGACUAGACUAUCGUUGUUUUGUUCUUUGUCUUUGAAAAACUCAGUAUUUGUUUAUUGUAUUUGGAGAUUAGCUCAUCUCAAAUAGGCCGAUUAUCAGUUGUUUUA
This 1042-nucleotide long non-coding RNA is filed under the name Helianthus annuus (common sunflower). The record is from RNAcentral. Lineage: Eukaryota; Viridiplantae; Streptophyta; Magnoliopsida; Asterales; Asteraceae.